This 494-nucleotide unclassified non-coding RNA is filed under the name Hevea brasiliensis (rubber tree). The record is from RNAcentral. Lineage: Eukaryota; Viridiplantae; Streptophyta; Magnoliopsida; Malpighiales; Euphorbiaceae.
GAGGAUCAGUGCUCCGGGAAGCAAAGUUGGUUUCACAGAGGUAGAUUGUCGUAAUUACAUGCGGAACAACCGCCAAAGGAGCAUGGAAGGAGACAUACAGCUCCUCUUAGACUACCUGAAACAAAUGAAUAUCCAGAAUGCUGGAUUCUUCUAUGCAGUUCAGGGUGAUGAGGAUCAGUGCUCUGGGAAUGUCUUCUGGGCUGACUCUAAGGCAAGAGCAAAUUAUAACUAUUUUGGUGAUACUGUUACAUUUGAUACAACUUAUAGGUCAAAUAGGUACCGGUUACCCUUUGCACCCUUUACUGGAGUAAAUCAUCAUGGACAACCUGUUCUCUUUGGAUGUGCUUUCCUAAUAAAUGAAUCCGAAGCCUCAUUCAUAUGGCUUUUUAAGACAUGGCUUGCAGCUAUGUCUGGUCAACCCCCCUUGUCAAUGACAACAGACCAUGAUGCUGUAAUUAGGUCUGCCAUCAUGCAGGUUUUCCCUGAGACCCGUC